CAUGACCUGGAUUUCUUUCUCUCCGUGGUGCAAGCAAAGACAGAAGCUGGGGGUGUUAAGGAUCUGUUCAAAUCCUUCUACUCAGAAGAGUCAAGAUGUCCAGCUGUGCCGACAAGAGCAAUGCCUGUCCCUGUUACUCAAAUAUUUCCCAUUUUUCCUACUUAGGUACAGCUUCAUGGCAAAACCUUAAAAAGAAUGUUUGGUUGUAUGCAAUAACAUGCCAAAGCCUGCUUAAAGCCAUCACCUCCAACACAGCAAGCAAGAAGCUCUACCUCCAAGUGAUUCCUUUGGAGUUUUUGUGUGCAGUCUUUCUAGACAGUGUUUUCUGUCAAACAGCAGUGGGCAAGCUGUCGUUCAUCAUCCAAGAUGUUUUUUGUAAGGGGUAAUGCUCCCUGGUGCUUAGAGUGGUAAUCCUGUAUUAGUUGUAUGCAGUGGGACCUCUGGUGGGCAUCUGGUGGUAUUUCUGCUGAAAAGUUUUUUGAGAACAAGGUUUGGUCGUCAGCCCGAUCCAGAUGGCUCACUUCUACCGAGCAGACAUACCCUAUGCUGUAUUUUAUGGUCUCUGAGUCUCGUGUCAUCAGCUACUUUUCAGCUUGAAAACAUGGCUGAUAAGGAUUUUCAAGGGAACCAGCCUAUUUACCACGCUACUAUUGUUAGACUUUUGCUUAGCACACACUAUGGGCUCCAAACUGCCAGAUGUGAAGUGUGAGAUUGGUGCCAGAAAGUGUACUGUUGGCACCAACAGACCACUUUGUCACAAUUCUACUGUGCUGGGCUAAGUUCUUCGGGAAUAAGUUUAUCUUUAAUAGAAAAUUUCAGCUAUAGCAUGACCCUAAAGGAUGUUUCUUUACAGGACAAAUGCAUAUCCUGUAGGGUUUCUGCUUUGGUAGUGCUGUUCUCCCCUGCUCUAUCAAGUCUGGAGGUUGGAAGGGGAUGCUAUUCUUAGGUGGUAACAAUUGCAUUUAGAUGCUGAGUGCUUCACUGCUUUUUAUUAUUGUUUUUUUCCUGAGAGAAAAUGCAUACAGAGGAUGAUCAGAAAGAGUUGUGGUUGAAAGUUGAAGGCAGAUGGCUGAGAACAGAGAACAACGUGGACAAGGAAGUCCAAAGGAGCACAUAUUGAUGUCAAACAAAGAGAACUGGGCUAUCUCCUGCAUUUUAUUCCUGCCACCUUUCUCAAAAUUGAAUGAAAGUAUGAAAACAAGACUAAAACACAGCAAAUGAAAACAUCUACAGGAGAACUGCUUUUAGCAGAGGUUGGUAGAAAGACAGAAAUAAUGAGGGCUGGGAGCAUGUCUGUCAUUUCAGAGGGAGAGAGGCUCUACUUACACCUCUUCCCCAGCUGGCUCUAGUUUUCAUUUUCUGCAAAACAAGUCAGAGGAAUAAGAGAAAAGGAAGAACACAAGAACAAGUUAUGGAAUAAAAGAGAAGAGGAUAUGACAGGAGAUUGGUUAGCAUCCCUUUCCUGAGAUAAUUAGUGUAAGUAGUAUUGAAUAGAAAUGCAUGCAAGCAAAGUCAAGUUACAGUGGUUUUACUAUAUUUGCUUGCUGAUGCGGAAUCUAUGCUCAUACACAGAAAUAAGCAGAGUGAUCUAUUGAUUGAAAGGAAAUAAUAACAGCAUGUGAAAUUCUAGCAAAAGUCACCCAAUAAUACAACAGUAAAAAAAAAUCAGAUGAUAAUAGUAAUAAUAAUUUGGAAUCUUCUACCAA
Molecule: long non-coding RNA, 1706 nt
Organism: Gallus gallus (chicken)
Lineage: Eukaryota; Metazoa; Chordata; Aves; Galliformes; Phasianidae
Source: Ensembl